RNAcentral lists this ribosomal RNA (414 nucleotides) under Mandarina sp. A AD-2005. RNAcentral's name for it is "partial 16S ribosomal RNA". The record is from RNAcentral. Lineage: Eukaryota; Metazoa; Mollusca; Gastropoda; Stylommatophora; Camaenidae.
AGCUUUUGAGUUAAAUAUAUUAUAAUAUUAGUUAUUUAUUUAAAGUGUUGUAAAACUUUAUUAAAAAAUAUAUUUAGGGGUGAUAGGCUAUUCAAAAACUAAGAUAUCUUGAAUCUAAUUAAAAGUAUAUAGUACACUCAACACGACUAUUAAGUGAUUAGGCUUUAUAGAAAUAUUAACUUUUUUUAGAUUUUUUUUAUUAUAAUUUAAUAACUAAAUUAUAUUAAUAAAAUAUUAUACAUAUAUAAAAAUUUAUAAGGAGUAAUUAGAUAAAUUUAAGUUUUAUAAUAAUUGAAAUAAUGUUAAUAUUAGUAUUUGUUUAAUAUUUAUUUGAUGAACUCGGCAAAAUGUAUUUCUCAACUGUUUAUCAAAAACAUAACUAUGUGUAUAUAAUACAUAGCGGUUUCUGCUCAA